GGCAACACUGUCCUCUAGCACAUGGUGACAAGUUUCCUCUUUUUCACAUGGUGACAGAUUUCUUCAAAAAAAGAGAAAAAUUUAAAAACGUGCAAAUAUUUGGAAUUGUUUAUUUUAUUCUCUUGUACAUUAUUUGUGUAUUGGCGUUACUGCUUACUGCUUCUACCUCUGCAACCAACACUAAGAAAAAAGCAAUGGGUGAAAAAAAUAUUACUCCUUUUGAUGGUAAAAAAUAUUUAACAUGGAAAUUAAAAAUUCGAGAUUUGUUAGAUGAAAACGAUGUGCUGGAAGUGAUCGAUAAAAAGCCCGGUGAAGUUGCUGAUAAAUGGAAAAGCAAGGAAAUGCUGGCAAAGAGCCUCAUAACUAAAAAUCUGAGCGACUCAUGUCUCUUCCGUGCUACCAAUGGACUUACGGAAUUAACAGCAAAAGAGAUUUUCAAAAAUUUGGAUGCAAUUUAUGAAAGAAAAGGCUAUUCGGGAACGCUAUUUGUCCUCAGAGAGUUGUAUUCAUUGAAAUUAAAAGGACACAGUCUAAUACAACAUUUUCAAGAAUUUGAUGAAUUAAUUGAUGAAUUGUCUGCUACAGGAACAGAAAUGAGUGAAGUAAAACAAAUAUCUUAUUUGCUUCGAACUCUGCCUUCUUCAUAUGAUGAAGUCAUUGCAAUUAUCGAACAAUUACCUGAUGAGAACAAGACUCUAGCGAUUGCUAAGAAGCUACUUUUGGAUCAUAAUUGUACUAAGCCCCCUUUCUAAAGCGCACUAACUAAUACAAUUUAUCACACAAAAAUAUUACAUUUAAAAAACAACAACAUAAAUUUUAAAUAUGCAGAUCACCGUGGUACAAUUGGUCACGGUCAAACGAAUUCAUGUAAGCACGUGAAUAAAAAGAAGAGGAAAAAAGGAUUACAAAUGGAUAAGAGCUUAGAAAAUAUUUCACAAAUACAAAAAUGGAAUGAUCAAAUAGGGAUAUUAAUUUUCUAUUCCGGAAUGAUGUCAAACUUCAAGUUGUGGUAGUCUGCUUAAUAUGGAUAAGUUUACUAACAAUAUAUAACCAAAUCACAGAUGGUCUAAACAAAAUUCUAUUUUAACCCCGAUCGAGUACUGAAUUGUAUACCAAUUUGGUAAUUGGGAUCGGUAUUAAAUAGUUGGAUGCCAUCAGGACACACAGUUUCUGGAAAAAUAAACAAAAAACAAUUUUCUUGCUUAAUUAACUUUCAUUUAUAAUUUUACAAUUAUGAUUCUGGAGCGAAGUCGGGCAAUCAUUUGAACAUGUUAAAAAUAAAAAAAAAUUGUAUUUUUUCAACUUCAAA
This is a long non-coding RNA of Drosophila willistoni, 1309 nucleotides long. RefSeq lists it as uncharacterized. The record is from RefSeq and is a predicted model, not a curated record. The transcript has 4 exons. NCBI's taxonomy places the organism in Eukaryota, Metazoa, Arthropoda, Insecta, Diptera, Drosophilidae.